This 498-nucleotide long non-coding RNA is filed under the name Mytilus galloprovincialis (Mediterranean mussel). The record is from RNAcentral. Lineage: Eukaryota; Metazoa; Mollusca; Bivalvia; Mytilida; Mytilidae.
UUCCCCAAACAUGUCUAGUUGAAAACUGCGCCAAAGCGUGUCAUUUGUAUAAACGCCCAAACGUGUCCAUUUCUCAACUAACCCCCAAACGUGUCCAAUCCCCAAAACGUGUCCAUAUCAAGCGUUAUUUGGUUAUUGCUAUUUCAUUAACGUAUACUAAUUUUACCAUUUCAUUAAAAAUAUACAUAAGCACGUUAGUACUUUUUCAAAACGGAAGAAUUAAACUUGCUUAAAGUGGGGGCGUCAUUUCGGCUAUUUCGUUUGUAAAUUGUAAGCAAACAUGUUGAGUUAAACAGUACAGUUAACGGGUCAAAGUGUCCCUUUCUCUGCGCGUUAAAACUUUAAUGUUCUCUCUAAUUAUGCAUGAAAUACUGACAACUGGACAAUUCGCAAUCAAGAGUCUAAAGUUAAUUUAUUCAGUAGAACUGAAAAAAAACAUUAAAACUUGUAUGUUUUCUCUAAUUUGCAUGAAAUACUUGCAACUGGACAAUAUGCAAC